UCGAGAAUCUUCCGCAAUGGGCGCAAGCCUGACGGAGCGACGCCGCGUGCGGGAUGAAGGCCUUCGGGUUGUAAACCGCUGUCAGUGGGGAGCAAAUCCAAAGGGGCUAUCCCCUUUGGUUGAGCGAUCCGCAGAGGAAGCGCAGGCUAAGUUCGUGCCAGCAGCCGCGGUAACACGAACUGCGCGAACGUUAUUCGGAAUCACUGGGCUUAAAGAGUCCGUAGGCGGCCUGGCAGGUGGGGUGUGAAAGCCCACGGCUCAACCGUGGAAUUGCGCUCCAAACCGCCCGGCUUGAGGGAGAUAGAGGUGAGCGGAACUGAUGGUGGAGCGGUGAAAUGCGUUGAUAUCAUCAGGAACACCGGUGGCGAAAGCGGCUCACUGGGUCUCCUCUGACGCUGAGGGACGAAAGCUAGGGGAGCGAACGGGAUUAGAUACCCCCGUAGUCC
Molecule: ribosomal RNA, 446 nt
Filed under: uncultured prokaryote
Description: bacterial SSU rRNA
Rfam family: Bacterial small subunit ribosomal RNA
Source: RNAcentral